Mus musculus (house mouse) is the source of this 1515-nucleotide long non-coding RNA. RefSeq annotates it as predicted gene, 38998. The record is from RefSeq and is a predicted model, not a curated record. The transcript is spliced from 2 exons. Lineage: Eukaryota; Metazoa; Chordata; Mammalia; Rodentia; Muridae.
AUAAGCACCUCUCUUAAGGUUAGUGUGUGCUGAAGGGACGCAGUUUAGUGAUUCCUGGCCCAUGCUGCUGUUCCAUGGCCUACCGUUUUCCAGAUAAGUAGGUCCAUACUUCAUCCUCCUCCCUGUCUGCCCCGUGACCAUUCUUCAUACCAUACCUUCUACCCCGACCUCGGUCUCCAAGAGGAUGUCAACACCCCACCACUCAGCACCACCAGGCUUCCUCAAUCUCUGUGGCUUUAAGUCAUUUCAUGGUUAGGUACAUCUUCUCUCACUGAGGCCCAAUGAUGCAUUCCUCUGCUGUUGGGAGCCUCAUAACAGCUGCCUGGUUGGUUGUAUGCUGCCUGCUUGGUGGCUCAGUGUCUUGAGAGAUCUCAGGGUCCAGGUCAGUUGAGACUGCUGGUCUUUCCCUGGGGCCACCCUUCUCCUCAGAUUUUUCCAGCUUUCCCAAAUUCAACCAUGGCAGUCCCAGACUUCUGUCUAUUUGCUGAGUGCUAUUAUUUGCCUCUGAUUCUUUCAGCUGCUUGCUGGGCUACUCAGAGGGCAACCAUGCUAGGAUCCUGUCUGCAAGCAUAUCACAGUACCAUUAACAAUGUCAGGACCCUGGACCCCCGUGAGAUGGAUCCCAAUUUGGGCCUGUCACUAGAUGUCCUUUAUCUCCUGCUCUUCUCCAUUUUGUCCCUGCAGUUUCAUCAGACAGGAACAAUUCUGGGUAAGAGCUUUUGACUGUGGGAUCAAAACCUCAUCUCUCCACUUAUCAUGUUCCUCCACUGGAAGUGGACUCUACAAGUUCCUACUCCCCACUCUAGAGCACUUUAUCCAAGAUCCCUCCCUUUGAAUCCUUAGAGUCUUUCAACUUCCCUGUCACCAGUACAUUCUAGAGUGUCCCCCUACCUCCAGAGUUAGCUGUUUCCAUCCUCUCUGUUGACCCUCAGGGCUUCAGUCCUGUUCCCCAAACCCAAUACCUGAUCAUGUUCCCUAGUCCCCCUUCCUGUCCCCACUCCCACCCAGGCCCCUCCUUCCCUCUGUUCCUCCCCCACCUUGGUUACUUUCUUUUCCCUCCCAAGUUGGAUUGAGGCAUCCAGAUAUGUGCCCUUCAGCUACUUUUCCCACUUGCAAAAGAGCUUCACUCUUUAAUGUGGAACAGGGUGUUGGGGCACAAAGGUCCUUGCAGCCACAGAUCACCAAGGAUACUAGGAAUUUUAAAUAUACAGAGGCCUGCAUUCAAUGAAGGAAAAAAAAAUACCUACAUUCAACCUAAAUAGCUGGAAGUGCAUUUUCGUACUGAUCCAGUGACCUUUUGGCUCUUUGUGUAGGCAGAUCUCAUAUAAUGUUUGCUAUAGAGGCAGACCUUACUCAAAUUCUCCAAAAUGACUGUCUUUAACUCUUUCCUUCCUAGAUGGUUACCAAUCAUUAGAUGCCAGGUCUUCUACCUACAGAAGCCCUCCUCACAGUUACAUGUACUUUGUAAAAGGGUUUCUAUGUAGUCACAUAUUAAACUUUAUUGUGAACUUGGAA